AGUGAACGCUGGCGGUAGGCCUAACACAUGCAAGUCGAACGGCAGCACAGUAAGAGCUUGCUCUUACGGGUGGCGAGUGGCGGACGGGUGAGGAAGACAUCGGAAUCUACUUUUUCGUGGGGGAUAACGUAGGGAAACUUACGCUAAUACCGCAUACGACCUACUGGUGAAAGCAGGGGAUCUUCGGACCUUGUUCGAUUGAAUGAGCCGAUGUCGGAUUAGCUAGUUGGCGGGGUAAAGGCCCACCAAGGCGACGAUCCGUAGCUGGUCUGAGAGGAUGAUCAGCCACACUGGAACUGAGACACGGUCCAGACUCCUACGGGAGGCAGCAGUGGGGAAUAUUGGACAAUGGGCGCAAGCCUGAUCCAGCCAUACCGCGUGGGUGAAGAAGGCCUUCGGGUUGUAAAGCCCUUUUGUUGGGAAAGAAAAGCAGCAGGUUAAUACCCCGCUGUUCUGACGGUACCCAAAGAAUAAGCACCGGCUAACUUCGUG
RNAcentral lists this ribosomal RNA (492 nucleotides) under uncultured bacterium. RNAcentral's name for it is "partial 16S ribosomal RNA". It matches the Rfam family "Bacterial small subunit ribosomal RNA", at positions 29 to 507 of the family's 1533-position model. The record is from RNAcentral.